AUUUUCUUCUGCAAGGCUCCACAAGGAGGCUGCAGUCAGAGGGCCUCAGUCAGUCCUGACCUCUGGGUUGGCUGUCACAAGACCAAAAGUUUGUACCUGGGUUCUUCCCCGUGACCGGCUGAAAUGACUCACUUCGCCAGGCCUGUACGGAGAUCACAGAGGCCUACUUCAUAGCAGUGGCAACAGGAACAGAGCAAGAAGUACUGAGAAACUGGAGAUGUUCCUCUGAAAACACUAUCCCACACUGAGCAUAGAGCAGCAGUAUGGCCUUCCAUCUUUACCCUGGCAUAUAUCUUUGCAGACCCUGAAGACAGGAAAAUUCCAGUGUCCUAGCACUGUGUGGGCUGUCCUGCAUCACUUUGUCUCAGUGUAAAGUUCUCAAACAAAGCACCACCUUCCAGGAUUCUCUGUAAACUUUCCUUUUCUUUCAACUUCACACAGAAACUUCCAGAA
Mastomys coucha (southern multimammate mouse) is the source of this 453-nucleotide long non-coding RNA. RefSeq lists it as uncharacterized. The record is from RefSeq and is a predicted model, not a curated record. The transcript is spliced from 3 exons. Lineage: Eukaryota; Metazoa; Chordata; Mammalia; Rodentia; Muridae.